CUAAAUGGAAAAAUGAAUAACUCGAUGAAACUUAUUGGCUCAAAAAGACAAGAAAUAUGUUGAAACUUGUUGCACAUUAGUAAUAGAAACUACACAAGUUGAAUAGAUAAGAUGACUCGUUCUCAAAAUAUUUUAUAAACCUAUCAAGAAACAUCAGAGAGGUUGCAGGAAAGUAGCCAUGGUGCCUUGGCAAUGAUGUGGCGUAACUGGGAAUUAGAGAAACCGUAGUUUGUGAAGAAGUCGACAACAGAGUCAGGUUUUUGGGUGGUUUUGAAAGCAAGACGGUAGGUGGAGCAAAGUUUGGAAGCGGAUUGUGGGGGAGAAAUCAAAAUUGUUGAUGAGGUAGGAGACUUCGAAUGGGGUUGAAUCGAAAUGCAGAGAGGAUGGUGAUGGUUGUGGGGGAAGUGAAGCACUUGAGAUUGAAUAGGGUUAGGGUUGUGUUGGGCCAUGUAUUGAACUUCAACAUGAUGAUUGAAGGACUGAAAAUUGAAAGAAAGGGAUAUCAAAUUGUUUAUGUUACCGGCGGUUGAAGAUGAAAAUGGCGAUUUCGUGGGACAGAUUAGAUGGCUUUCGACGACGGCGCAAUCACGAAUGGUGGCUUUUGGCGAUGGUGCGACCGCGAAUGGUGGCUCGCGGUUUAGACUUCAUAUGAUAUAAACUUUCAAUUACCAUUUUUUAAUUUAUUUUUAAAUUUCAACUAUAAAUUUCUAUAAUUUUUUUCUUUCAAAA
This 729-nucleotide long non-coding RNA is filed under the name Lathyrus oleraceus (garden pea). Its description in RNAcentral is "Pisum sativum (pea) long non-coding RNA (PSAT_LNC021496)". Lineage: Eukaryota; Viridiplantae; Streptophyta; Magnoliopsida; Fabales; Fabaceae. The record is from RNAcentral.